This 487-nucleotide ribosomal RNA is filed under the name uncultured Actinomycetes bacterium. RNAcentral describes it as "bacterial SSU rRNA". It matches the Rfam family "Bacterial small subunit ribosomal RNA", at positions 355 to 857 of the family's 1533-position model. Lineage: Bacteria; Bacillati; Actinomycetota; Actinomycetes. The record is from RNAcentral.
UGGGGAAUUUUGCACAAUGGGCGAAAGCCUGAUGCAGCAACGCCGCGUGCGGGAUGAAGGCCCUCGGGUCGUAAACCGCUUUCAGCAGGGAUGAAAUUGACAGUACCUGCAGAAGAAGCCCCGGCUAAAUACGUGCCAGCAGCCGCGGUAAUACGUAUGGGGCAAGCGUUAUCCGGAUUCAUUGGGCGUAAAGCGCGCGUAGGCGGCUUGUUAAGUCAGAUGUGAAAACCGGGGGCUCAACCCGCGGCCUGCAUCUGAAACUGGCAGGCUUGAGUCUGGUAGAGGAAAGUGGAAUUCCUGGUGUAGCGGUGAAAUGCGCAGAUAUCAGGAGGAACACCAGUGGCAAAGGCGGCUUUCUGGGCCACGACUGACGCUGAGGCGCGAAAGCUAGGGGAGCGAACAGGAUUAGAUACCCUGGUAGUCCUAGCCGUAAACGAUGGGCACUAGGUGUGGGGGGUCAUCGACUCCCUCCGUGCCGAAGCUAACG